RNAcentral lists this long non-coding RNA (287 nucleotides) under Mytilus galloprovincialis (Mediterranean mussel). Lineage: Eukaryota; Metazoa; Mollusca; Bivalvia; Mytilida; Mytilidae. The record is from RNAcentral.
ACAAUACAAUGUAAAAUAUUUUGCCCCAUAACACCCCUUUAUUUUUUCAUAUAAGACUUAAUAGCUCAUGAAAGGUCAUUUACCAAAAUUUUAGAAGAUUCUUAAUUUUCUUUCGUUUGUUUUGAGACCCAAAUAGUACCAAUGCAUAUAUAAGGUAAAAGUCCGAGUCAGCCUUUUCCCGCCAUAUUUUGAAUCUCAAAUAUGUCGAAGAGGAGGUCCAUGACCUAUCAAUUUUUUAGCUUAUCUUUACCCUUAACAGAUGUUCUACCAGCUUAUAGUUUCAAUUU